UACGUAGGGACCAAGCGUUGUCCGGAAUCAUUGGGCGUAAAGAGCUCGUAGGCGGUUCAGUAAGUCAGGUGUGAAAGCUCCGAGCUCAACUCGGAGAGGCCACCUGAUACUGCUGUGACUAGAAUCCAGUAGGGGAGUGUGGAACUCCUGGUGUAGCGGUGAAAUGCGCAGAUAUCAGGAAGAACACCAGCGGCGAAGGCGGCACUCUGGGCUGGAAUUGACGCUGAGGAGCGAAAGUGUGGGUAGCAAACAGG
Molecule: ribosomal RNA, 254 nt
Filed under: uncultured bacterium
Lineage: Bacteria
Description: partial 16S ribosomal RNA
Rfam family: Bacterial small subunit ribosomal RNA
Source: RNAcentral